GACGAACGCUGGCGGCGUGCUUAACACAUGCAAGUCGAACGGAAAGGCCCUGCUUUUGUGGGGUGCUCGAGUGGCGAACGGGUGAGUAACACGUGAGUAACCUGCCCUUGACUUUGGGAUAACUUCAGGAAACUGGGGCUAAUACCGGAUAGGAGCUCCUGCUGCAUGGUGGGGGUUGGAUAGUUUCGGCGGUUGGGGAUGGACUCGCGGCUUAUCAGCUUGUUGGUGGGGUAGUGGCUUACCAAGGCUUUGACGGGUAGCCGGCCUGAGAGGGUGACCGGCCACAUUGGGACUGAGAUACGACCCAGACUCCUACGGGAGGCAGCAGUGGAGAAUAUUGCACAAUGGGCGGAAGCCUAAUGCAGCAACGCCGCGUGCGGGAUGACGGCCUUCGGGUUGUAAACCGCUUUCGCCUGUGACGAAGCGUGAGUGACGGUAAUGGGUAAAGAAGCACCGGCUAACUACGUG
Molecule: ribosomal RNA, 468 nt
Filed under: uncultured bacterium
Lineage: Bacteria
Description: partial 16S ribosomal RNA
Rfam family: Bacterial small subunit ribosomal RNA
Source: RNAcentral